RNAcentral lists this long non-coding RNA (1046 nucleotides) under Bemisia tabaci. RNAcentral's name for it is "lncRNA ENSSSA2NGG010817". Lineage: Eukaryota; Metazoa; Arthropoda; Insecta; Hemiptera; Aleyrodidae. The record is from RNAcentral.
CUGCCACCGUCCUCCAGCCGCCCACUAGAUACAGACAUAGACGGUUUACCGAUGGAAGAUGAUGAAGACAUUGAUGGAGUGCCACUCGACAACGAAGACGCCCCAACAAAGUCGGCAACAUUCGUGCCAUCCAGAUGGGAAACAGUGGAUCCAGAACAAGCUGAGGCAGAAGCAAUGACAACUAGCAAAUGGGAACUUAUGGAAAUGGGGAAGCUUCAAGAAUCUGCUCCAGAGAAACAGGAAAGCGUGCCUCAGCCCAAGGAUGAGACUUCACAGGACUCAGUUACUCAAGACUCUCAGUCUCAAGAUUUGGAAGAUGUUACCCCAGGUCAUGAUGCUGCAAUCGCUGGUGAUGACGAUUUCGAAGAGCAAAGCUUCGGGAAGUAGAAGUGAAAGUAAUGCAAUACCAAGAUGAAUUGGAAUUUGGCGAUCGAACACUCAAGUCAGGAUGGACUAUUCAACAACAAGUUGCACAUUAUAGGCGGAAACUUCUCAGAAAGGCUGAGAAAGGAGAAAAACUAGAUAGCAAAAAGGAUAAAUCAAGUGAAAAAUCUGUACGUCGCAGCAUAUCACCUGAUGAGUAUGUCGAUAUGGUUGAGAGUCGUAAACAUAAGCGUUCCAGAAGUAAAUCUCGAAGUCUUUCUCCUGGGCAUAAGAAAUCUCAUAGAUCUCAUAGUGGUAGUCGAAGUCCCUCUCGCAAGGUGCACCGUGGGAGAUCUCCUCAGUCUGUGCGAUCCAGCAAAAGUCUUCACAUAUUCAUACGCCCUCUCCACCUCGUAUCAAACGCAAAGCAGCUUCCCCGGAUUCCCCGCAUCGCAGUAGAAGUAGGCGAGAAUACUCACCUCUCUCUCCCUCAUCCUCUUAUCGCUACAAAUAUUCCCGUUCUACCUACUCACCGUCUCCUCCUCCUAGCUCUUCAAGGAAGCAUAAACAUAAACAUAAACAUUGACCCAGUGUAUAUGCAGAACAAUUAUUUCAAUAUAGAUUGGAUUGUGAUGGAUACUCUUCCUGAUGAGACUUACAUUCAGUUUUUGGUGUUUCAAUAG